AAUUCUCAACUACACCAAUUUUUUAAGUUGGUGUAGAUUGGAUUUGGGGGGAUUUUUUGCGGGCUUUUGUAAAAUGAAGUCGGCUCCCCUGAAAUUGAUUAGUGGUACCUUAGUAGAACCAUCUACAGGUGUGAUAAUUUAUCUACGCCUCAGAUGUCUGCAUGGAAAAGGUUAUGCUGCUUCCUAACCUCACCAAUGACAA
RNAcentral lists this unclassified non-coding RNA (202 nucleotides) under uncultured Inocybe. RNAcentral describes it as "sequence contains ITS2". Lineage: Eukaryota; Fungi; Basidiomycota; Agaricomycetes; Agaricales; Cortinariaceae. The record is from RNAcentral.